This is a non-coding RNA of Rattus norvegicus (Norway rat), 8883 nucleotides long. The record is from RefSeq and is a predicted model, not a curated record. Lineage: Eukaryota; Metazoa; Chordata; Mammalia; Rodentia; Muridae.
CCUGGAUGUGGUUCCGCGUGUACUUAUUAAUAAUAGCAGCGAGGACCAUGGGGAAGAAGCGAGCCAAGCUCAGCAAGCGGGGGAGGCGAAGGUUUGCUGGAAGAAGUUGCAGUUGAGAAAAGAGGAACUAUUUAGACCCCCUUAGAGUGCCAGAGCUAAACAGCACCAAAAAGAGCUGAAGUAUCUGAGUAACGGCCAGGAUUUGCUGAAGUGUUAGGAGUGAAAAAGAAGAUUUACUGCCAAAUGACUGUCAAGAGGAAGCAGGCUGAGGGGGCGAGAUGAAAUGAGGAGGAGGGCAUUGCAGGAGGUGUGAUUUCUAUCACGGGGCCAUGAGGACAAGUCGGCCUGCUUGCUGUUCCUUCCCCAAGGAGUACAUAAAUGAGUUCUUUCUGCUGGCUGGAGGUGCAGAGGCAAACACAGAGGGAGCGAGGGAUCAUUGCUCAGUAAAGGUGAAAUGUGGGCAUUUCACAGAUUCAACUGCCCCUGCUGACCUGCACUGAGCUGCAUGAACUCAUGAACAAACUCAGCUCCACUGUACUGUACUCGCUGCACUGACUGACUCUGCAUGAGCUGCUUUUAAACAACUUCUAUUUCUUGUGCUGUUCUCAUGAGAGGUUCUGAAUGGAGACACCUCCUUCUCAAGUAUCCAGUGGCCUUGCCUAGAGGCAGUUGCAGGAUGAAGCUCCCUCCUGCUGGUAACUACUAUUUCAUCUGUCUAGGAGAGCCGGAGGACCAGGAAGAGAAGGGCAAGCACAAGAGGAGUGGGAGGUGUGUGUGUGUGUGUGUGUGUGUGUGUGUGUGUGUGUGUGUGUGUGUGUGCGCGCGCGCGCCAAGCUGCACUGCGCACUGGCUUCUAAGUGGGCAGAAGGCAGAUGGUGGUGAACAUCCAUCAUUUUCAUAGCUGUCCCGUCCACCACAAACCAAAAGUCUGGGGUGAGGAAGGCAGAUGAGCAAGCGAAAAAGGAAGUGGAGGUUUAAAGGGAAUUUUAUACUCAUUUGGUUUGGUUCUAGAAAGGGGAAUGAGAAGUGAUUUAAUAGUUGGACUGAAUUUGCUGAAAACCAAGUUUCCUCAAUUCUGAUUUCCGGUCUCUUUACCUCCCUACUAUUUUAAAGCUAUUGUGUAGAUAUAAAGAUGAUGAACUAAGAUUCCGUUUCCUUCUCUAAGUUGAACUCAGUGGUACCUUCAGUAAGUAUGGGAUUUAUAAGAUAUGUAACUUGGCUUGGUGUUUCUAGACUUGGAACUAAGGUUUUCAGCAGAGGAAUGCUGGUUAGGAACCUGAUGGGUCUUAUUUUAAAUUAUUAAAUGGAACGGAUAUUUUUUUUCAGAUCCAGAAACGAAUGACUAACUGGAAAUUUGUGUUUGUGUUUGUAGUCUUCAAAAACAGUUCUAUGGGAAAUUAUGGAAGUUUGGUUACAUCCUAGGGCAGUCUGGUGUAUAGUCAGGGGCUCAGUCAGUAUUUGUGGGACACGUAAGUGAGGGGCUGGAGCAGGUAGCAUUCCUUCAUUGACUGACUACAUUCAUACUCUUGAUACAGCUGUAGGACCCAGUCAGCUACCGGUCCGAGAACGCGUUACUGGUAAUUUGUUACUGUACAACUCACAGGGCAGCUGCUCGUUACAACACACGGAUUAAUGGGGCCAACGGCCUCGAUUUGGUGCCUCCAGGGGCCGGUUAUCUCUGUUCUACUUUGUGGCUGCCCCAGUAGCCCAUAACCUUUGCCAGCUGCGGCUUAUCGGGUCAUGUUCUUUGUCACAGAAAGGUCCAGGAAGGAGAAUGGGGGCAUUAGCUCAGACCCGCACCACUUUGGAAGAGAGCUCAGGCACGUGCUCUGCAGAAAGGUCAGUUUUAUACUUGAGAAGUGACAUAAGGACUUCCUGGAGCCCCUCACACCGUACACUCCAGCCUGGUGAGCUUCUCAGUGUACAAUGGUUUGAUCCAUGUCGGCCAUAGACAAGCGCUCCAUUUGCUGAACACAGAGUCAUGCCAAAGGCCUGACUUGAGAAAAAUGAUCAGCUCGCAGGAUUCAAAACAAACGGGCAUAUUACAACCACCUACCCCUUCCAGGAAGUCCCUUUCUGCUAAACCUAUAUAUUUCACAUGAAUUCAACAUUACCUAGAAACAUUCUUUGCAUAAUAGACUAUUUUCUUCCUGGCAAGCCUUGCCUUGAUCUGCAUUAUCAUUUAGGCCCCAUCUGAAAACACCAUUAAUUUAAAUAAGCAACAGAGACUGGAAUAAAAUUCCAUUCGUGCUUAACUCUCCAAUGCGGUUUGAAAAUGUUUUCUUCUCCAGCCCAGUCUUAUGUUACAUGCUGGAUGGUCUUUUCUUUGACCACCUCAUAAAAAAGAGCUCAUAAAUACUUUUCAUGUGUUAUUUAAACUAGCAGGACUCCCUGAGGCCCUGCACUCCUAUUUUUUUAAGUCCUUUGUGUAUUUCAAAGGGCUUUCUAACCCAGUCACAGAGGUAAAAGUGUCUUCUAACUUGAGAGAGCCAUGUCCUGUCACUAUCAGGGCAUCAAGUUCCUCCACUGCUGAAACAUUUUUUGGCAGAAUGCUGCCAAGGUAUAAGAUGCUUUCUUGCCUGAGUGCUCCUUUGUGAGAUCUGUGCCAGUGUAGGAAUAUACGUGCCUUUUCUGAUGCAUCUGAAGCUGGAAUUGGGGUCUUUUGGCUAUACGUGGCAUGCUGACAAACAAGAGCUCUGUUUCAUCAUAAAGGUGAAUUAACUUCUGAUUAAUGAAGAAGAAUCCAGAAGAGAGUGUCUGGCUGUGUACAAAAGUGGUGUGUGUGUGUGUGUGUGUGUGUGUGUGUGUGUGUGUGUGUGUGUGAGUGACAAUGUCUUGGCUCAUGAAUCUCCCCCCACAGUGUCUUAGUGCUUGUAUUUUUUGUUAUGCUGUCCUCUCCCACUUUGGAAUAAGCUUUAGCGGGUUCUGUAGUCCAUUCAAGCAUUGCACCCCUCACUUCACCUUCACAUGAAUCUAUGGGUGCUCUCAUCCCCACCUAUGUCACAGCUUUGUAAUAGAAUAAGUUCAUAAAGGCAGUUAGAGACUACCUAGUUCAGCUUCUGUCUAUGUACAGAAAUCCUUUGAUAUUCCCCACGGGUUCUCCUUCAAUGUUGUUUCAGUACUCUUAAGUAAACACACAUGUUCUCAUCUGUAUGGACUGUACUUACCACUUAAAUUAUUACAGAGUCUUUUAAAAUUUUAUUUAGGUAUAUAUGCUGGCAUGUGUGUGUGCACACAGGUGAGGCCAGAAGCGGGCAUCAGAUCUCCUGAGCUGGAGCUAGAAGCCAUUGUCUUCUUCUCAAUGAGGAUGCUAGGAACCAAACUCUGGUCCAUUGCAAGAACAGCACACACUGUUAACCACCAAGCUAUCUCUCUCUUCCCAGGAAUUUCUAAAUAUGGGUAGUACCAUCAAUCCUCUGAAGCCACUCAUGGCCAAGACAGAAUUCAUGGGCACUUACUCCAAUUUGUCUUUUGAUCAUUGUCAGCUGGAUUUAUUUAACAUUCAUUCAUGGCGUGAUAAAGACAAAAGAGAUGAAGUACAUGUCCCAUGGGUUCCUCAAACCACACAUUCCUAAUGCACUUAGAAGGAGACCUAUCAGCUUACUUAUCUUUAGAUGACCCCUGACCUUCAUGAGUCUUACCUCGGGGCUUCUCUUCGUGUGGUCUCCAGAGCAGCAGUGGUUGUCUCCGGUGGGAAUGCAGGUCUCUAGACCCUGUCCACUAAAAGUGGACCCUAGUGAUUGCCACAGUGAGUCCUUCAGGUGACUCUAAUGCAUGUCUAAUUAAGAAAAAAGGGUCUAAAUGUAAUUACUCUAUCAAACUAGAUACCUCGGCUUUCUCAGCCUCUUUCUUUUCCCCUGUCAUGAAGUUUUUAACAUUUCGAGGAUUGUCUUCAAGAUCUUCAGUCUCCAUGUUUUAAACUCAGACUCCCUGGGUCUCAUCUGAUGUUUGGUGGCAACUCCUAUUUGGUUCCUUAGCCAGUCUUACUUUCCAAGACAAUUUAUCCUGUAUUGAAGAUCUGAUGGUUUAGGCAUAAAACAUCCCACUGAUGACACACUGUUAGCACAUACAUAGUAACUCCCCUGAGUGACAGAAGGCCUGCUAGAUCCUCAUCUCUGCAUCCUGUGUGGUCACUCACUGCUUUCCGUCUACCCUUGGUCACACAUCCCUAUCCCUGCUAGACUCUAUUGGUCCAAGCACAAUGCAUAACAUUGGAAGAAUGCUCACCAUGUCAGACAUCCAUCUAGAUAGCUGAGAGUGAGACUUACAGUGUGUGCCUGGUCCAGGGUCACAGAGCUGGACAGCCAUGGAGCUCAGGAUGAACCUACAUCUCUUGGCUGACCAUCUGGGGUAGUUUCUGUGUUUACAAACCUCCGCUUGCUUAAUAUGUUUAGUGGCAGGUGUAAGUGGUGGGUAGGUUUUCUUCUCUUUAGACACUACCAGUGAAGUCCAGGAGAUUUGAUUUAAUCCGGGCAAAGCAGGAACCUUCGAAUUUUUCAGCUGAAAGCUGGAGAAACCUGAGGAGCGUUUUGCACUGUUGGCGUCUCCUGCUGAAUUCCCAUACUAUCAAGAUUCUCUUACAACAUCUGGCCAUUUUACAGGGGAUUUCAUGGAGCAAAUCAAUUAACAUUUUUAAAAGUGGGAUAGAGAGGAAGGAGAAGAGUGUUUGAGUGGCACCAUAGCAGUGUGAGAAAUCCCCUAGGAGGCAGCUAAUGGCAGGAUUGCACAAAACCUUGUAAGGAAUUGUGUCCAUAUAACACAGCUUGUUCUUAAGCAAAUAGAUAGAAAUGACAUGCAUUUAAGGAGAUAGGAUGUUUACCCUGCUUUAAACUUACAUGAUGUACACAUACAUUGCAGCAAUACAUGGUGCCCUGUGAAUAUGUAUAAUUUUUGUGUCACCAGUUGAAAUGAGUUCACAUUAAAUCCAUAUGUAAACAAUUUAAGUUUAGAUGAGGGCCAUUUGAUUCUUUGGGUUACAGACAACACAUACAUGUACAUAGUUCACUAUGACUAUCACGGUUACACUACUGAUAUAUCUUUUUUUUCUAACAGUGGGGGCUCAGACCGGGACCAUGGGUUAAGAAGUUCUUAGCUGGACGUCCUUGGGUGGUUCUCUCAGGAUGUAAUCAUUGGAUUCCAACUGCACAGUGCAGGAGGAUCUUGGCAGUCACUCUUGUAAACACUUGACGAGUGCUUGAUGUACUCAAAACAUACAGGCUCUUUCCACUUGUGAGCUUACGCCCUGGUGACUCACUUCAAACACUCCAAACUCCCAUUCCCAUGGAGUGUCUGCAGCAUGUGCACGGGCAGCAGAGCCCAGUGCCAUUUGUCUACUGCUGUACUGAGCAGUAAAUGCCAGACAGUUUCUAAAGGCCCUAAAAUAGAGCUUCACACAGCACCUGCUUCACCUUCUUCAUAGCAGGUCUCAUCGCUUUGUUUUGCUCUGAUUAGGAGGGACUCCUUUGUAGUAAGGAAUGAUCACGCUUCUGUGUGUGUGUGUGUGUGUGUGUGUGUGUGUGUCUAUGUGAGCAUGCCUCUCUCUCUCUGUAUGUCUCUCUCUCUCUCUCUCUCUCUCUCUCUCUGUGUCUCUGUGUGUGUAUGCCUGUGUGUCUGUGUGUCUGUGUGUCUGUGUGUCUAUGUGAGCAUCUCUCUCUCUCUCUCUCUCUCUGCGUGUGUGUGUGUGUGUGUGUGUGUGUGUGUGUGUGUGUGUUGAGAGCAGGACUGAGUGAAAGAACGUGUUCGUCAUCUCUAUCACAAAUUACCAAGUCUGAAAUCAGCAAAGCAGAUUCCCGUGAGUCUGUUUUAUUCUUUCUCCCCACACAUGAAUUUCCCAUUUCAAGUCAGGCCACCAUUAAGACAGAAAGUCCAGGGGUUACUUUCAUCUGCCUUUUCAUACUGAAUUUAUUGCUUUAUCUGUAAUAUGGGGAUUAAUAUAUUGGGUUUAUGACCUUCCUAGGGCACUGUGCGUAUCCAAUAGCUCAUAAUGUGAACACGCAGAGCUCCAAAUGUCAUUGGAUGUAAGGUAUGGUUAAUAUGACUUUAUUAAGAGUUCUAAAGAAAACACUAUUCUCUGACACUCCACAUUUGUGGGACAAACAUUAGGAUCUUUAAUUAAAAUGACUUUGAGAUCACAAGGUUUGACCUAACUUUAAUCACCUCUCAAAUGUGAUCAAAUGAAUUUUCCAUUAAGAACCUUUUUAACAAUAAAAGAGUCCUCAUUGUCGUUUAACAUCUAUAAACAAGGCUGAGAGAAAAGCAUGGGGGGGGGGGGGCGUACAGUUCAGUCCUAAUAGGCCAUAAAAGGAGAGUCGGUCACUCUUCUUUUAUCUGCCCCCAGGCUCUUUGAAUCUCACUUUUCAUUUAGAUAUUUACCACAUUGGUGUGCCCCCCACCCCCAUAACACAGGCUGAAGUGAGCAGCCUCCAGGGUUUCUUUCCAGUCUCUUCCUACUCAGACUGGUCCCAUCUGAGCAGUACUGUGACCCAUGGGAGGACAGCACAGCAGUCACUUCAAAACAGAGCCUUGCCAGUCUCAAGAAUGGAGCCAAGCUGAUUUUCUAAACAUUCUGUUGCAUUAAUACCUUGUAGGCCCAUGGGGGCUUUCAUCAAAACCUCUCCUAACACUUUCUCAACUGCGGCUACUCCUCAGCACAGCCCUGGGGAAGCACUCCUACAUUUCUGAGGAGUUGCAAAGGAAGCCCCCAGUCAGCUGGGAAGCUGCUGGAGAAACGGUGAGAAAAGGAAAUCUGUACCUUGAGGAAGCCUUGUUAUCUCUCAGCAUGUGCAGUCAUGUCCAGAAGUUCAUGGAGCAGGACAGUCAGAGGAGACAAGAAAGUUUGUUUCAAAUAAACUUAAAAAUGGAGUAAGAAACAGAUUGCUUUACUUUUCAUAGCUGAAGGCCUCUGUAUUUGCCAAACUAUGGAAUCAAAAGAAUCUGCCUACAAUCAACGACUGUCUGUGGCCACUGCCUGGAAUUUUCUUCGUGACCAAAUCCAUUAUUAAUAGUUAUUCACUCAAUAAACAUUUAUUGAACACAUUCCAGGUACUAUAUUUAUUCGAGAAAAAAAAUCUGUUGUGUAUAGAACUGCUCCUUGUCCUUGGGGUACUUCUAGUCUGUGUGAGAAAUGACAAUCCAUCUUUUAAAAGAGCAAUGCAUGCUUUAUAUACACCCAUUCAGUACAUAUGCGUGUACGCUUACUCCUUUACCUUCAAAAUGACAUUUACAAAACCUUUUUCCUCUACUUGAAAGUAUUUCUCUGAACAGUUGAAGCAGUCUUUGUCCUUCCAGUGUGAUCCUCCCAGCCUGCCUUAUGGAUCUACACUUUUCUUUAGUAGUCUCUGUGCCUCAGAAGCAUACAAUUCCUACAGAACUUAAAUAUUCCCUCUGAGCACGUGACACAACUUUCACGCUAUAGGUGGGUUGCGUAAAUCUAAAAAAGCAUCCCACACUAUCGCCGGCUAGCACCAGCUCGACCUGCUCUCAGUCCGGCAGACUCUGACUCUGAGCUCUGAAAACGCUCUCUCCUUCCCGCUCACGAAAUGCCCAUGGCAGGCUAUUGUCAAGCAAGCCCCACGCUCCCAGCCCCAUGCUUCCAAAUUCCCGUGGCUGGCUGGGGUGCACUCUUGCUCGGUACUUGCACUCUGCUGUAGUACCUUUUUUCUGGAACCCACUGGAGUCGAUGUGUGAAGGAAAACACCACACGAUCUUAGUUUAGAAUCAACAGGUAACACAAUCGCUGGCCCAGAACCUAGCAUCCUAAUUUUGUAAACAAAUCUGUUAAAAAUCCUCAAGUGUCGGGUACUGGUGGAUCUGCCACUCAAACUCACAGCCUCUGGCUCCCUACGCUCUGUCUGCCUCCCUUGCUCCUGCUGUCCAAAAGGGCCAUCCUUUCCCUGCCUCCCUUCUUCCUCUUCCUGAUUCGGAAGUCCUGCCUACUCGCCCACUGAUUGGUCCCUUGUAACCUUGAUUCAUUAGGGGUUAAGUCCUGCUACAUCGGUGCCUGAACCUAUUUGUUGAAUGAAUAGAAGAAUGGACAGUUCAAAGGUGACAAAUCAUGUAAGGACUACCAUACUCUAAGAUGAAGCAUCCGUCCGUUCCAUAAAGAUACCAUAGGGGGCUGGGGAUUUAGCUCAGUGGUAGAGCGCUUGCCUAGGAAGCACAAGGCCCUGGGUUCGGUCCCCAGCUCCGAAAAAAAGACCAAAAAAAAAAAAAAAGAUACCAUAGGUGACUCUUUAAGAGGACAAAGAAAGAACAAUAAUCUAAAUAAGUAAUUUGAAUAUCUAAAAGGAAAUUCCCAGCUACCUUAAGGAGAAAUUUAAAUAAAAUUUAAAUACAGCACAUUUUUCCUCUUGGAGUUUAGUCAAUAAACAACCAGAACAAGUUGUAGGAUUUUAUGGUCUUUCACACUUCAAAACCCAGACAAUGUUUCAGAUACAAUUUGUUAUUUCUAUUGUACAUUUGUCGUUAUGACAAACUUAAGAGAAUUAAACACCGAAUCCCUCCCACUUUCCUUUGCUCAAAGUUCGUGUCUGACACCUAAUUCUCAUUGUCAGUCUUGAGCUUAAUGUGAGUGAAUUCUCUGUGUUUACAUACAUUUACAGGAGAAUGUAUAAGUUACUGAUGCAAAGAUGUUAGGAACAAUAGACAUUAAAGCUUUGUACGCAUGUGUCUGUUCAGUGUUCUAUUGCUGUGAAGAGAUGACAAGGCCAAGGUGACACUCAUAAAGGGAAACAUUUGACUAGGGGACUGGCUUUCAGUUUUGGAGGAUUAGGAUGCAUGGUGGUGCUAGAAAAGUUGUUGAGAGCUGUAGGCAGAGAAAGGAGGGAGAGAGGGAGGGAAGGAGAGGGGAAGAGAGAGGAGGGAGACAAAAGAGGGAGGGAGAGG